This 212-nucleotide long non-coding RNA is filed under the name Elaeis guineensis (African oil palm). RNAcentral's name for it is "long non-coding RNA (EGUI_LNC078540)". Lineage: Eukaryota; Viridiplantae; Streptophyta; Magnoliopsida; Arecales; Arecaceae. The record is from RNAcentral.
CUCCUUUGUUCACACCAAAGAAGAUAGAAGCUCAUCAAAACCUCACACCCCAAAGAAGGUUUUUGGCCCCUCUUUCCUCUCAUGUCUCACAAUGAAAAAUUCUCUCUUGUUGGCAUACAAAAUUAUGGCUUUUUUAUGAUUGUCGUACAAACCAGAUUAGAUAGGAUAAGAGAGUUUGUUGCAAUUCAAACCAUUUUGAAUUUUAAUUUGAC